RNAcentral lists this ribosomal RNA (251 nucleotides) under uncultured bacterium. RNAcentral describes it as "partial 16S ribosomal RNA". It matches the Rfam family "Bacterial small subunit ribosomal RNA", at positions 524 to 776 of the family's 1533-position model. The record is from RNAcentral.
GACGGGGGGGGCAAGUGUUCUUCGGAAUGACUGGGCGUAAAGGGCACGUAGGCGGUGAAUCGGGUUGAAAGUGAAAGUCGCCAAAAAGUGGCGGAAUGCUCUCGAAACCAAUUCACUUGAGUGAGACAGAGGAGAGUGGAAUUUCGUGUGUAGGGGUGAAAUCCGUAAAUAUACGAAGGAACGCCAAAAGCGAAGGCAGCUCUCCGGGUCCCUACAGACGCUGGGGUGCGAAAGCAUGGGGAGCGAACAGG